RNAcentral lists this ribosomal RNA (722 nucleotides) under uncultured Fusobacterium sp. RNAcentral describes it as "bacterial SSU rRNA". It matches the Rfam family "Bacterial small subunit ribosomal RNA", at positions 28 to 776 of the family's 1533-position model. Lineage: Bacteria; Fusobacteriati; Fusobacteriota; Fusobacteriia; Fusobacteriales; Fusobacteriaceae. The record is from RNAcentral.
GAUGAACGCUGACAGAAUGCUUAACACAUGCAAGUCAACUUGAACUUCGGUUUGGGUGGCGGACGGGUGAGUAACGCGUAAAGAACUUGCCUCACAGAUAGGGACAACAUUUGGAAACGAAUGCUAAUACCUGAUAUUAUGAUUUUAGGGCAUCCUAGAAUUAUGAAAGCUAUAUGCGCUGUGAGAGAGCUUUGCGUCCCAUUAGCUAGUUGGAGAGGUAACAGCUCACCAAGGCGAUGAUGGGUAGCCGGCCUGAGAGGGUGAACGGCCACAAGGGGACUGAGACACGGCCCUUACUCCUACGGGAGGCAGCAGUGGGGAAUAUUGGACAAUGGACCGAGAGUCUGAUCCAGCAAUUCUGUGUGCACGACGAAGUUUUUCGGAAUGUAAAGUGCUUUCAGUUGGGAAGAAAGAAAUGACGGUACCAACAGAAGAAGUGACGGCUAAAUACGUGCCAGCAGCCGCGGUAAUACGUAUGUCACAAGCGUUAUCCGGAUUUAUUGGGCGUAAAGCGCGUCUAGGUGGUUAUGUAAGUCUGAUGUGAAAAUGCAGGGCUCAACUCUGUAUUGCGUUGGAAACUGUAUAACUAGAGUACUGGAGAGGUAAGCGGAACUACAAGUGUAGAGGUGAAAUUCGUAGAUAUUUGUAGGAAUGCCGAUGGGGAAGCCAGCUUACUGGACAGAUACUGACGCUAAAGCGCGAAAGCGUGGGUAGCAAACAGG